This is a non-coding RNA of Chrysemys picta bellii (western painted turtle), 2264 nucleotides long. Lineage: Eukaryota; Metazoa; Chordata; Testudines; Emydidae. The record is from RefSeq and is a predicted model, not a curated record.
GGGAGCGGGGGGAGGGGCAGAGCGAGUCAUUCUCUUUCCUCGGACUAUGGGGGCCCUGGCACUAGCCCAGCCUGCUGAGUGCGGGGGCUGAUGGGGUGACGCUGCUGGCGUCAAUGGAAGCGGAGCUCUUGACAGUCCACUUCUGUGUCUAUGCGGGGGACAUUUUCCAGGUGGUUUUGAAUCAGUCCCGCUAACCCGGGUUUGAAGGGGUUCCAUCGUGACGCGGGCUCUAACGGGCCAUCUCUGCGGCCUUGGCAAGUUGUGACAUCCGUGUAGUUGGGCCAGAUUUAGAACCAGGCUGAAAAUGCCCCCCCCCCCCCAAGGCCCGUGCCAGGUACCUCAGUAAAUGUACCUGAUUGUUAGCUCCAGUGUCUGCCCCACAGAAGCCCCUGGCUGGCCAGGCCAUCCAGUCACCUCUUUGCAACUCCUCAUCCUGAGUAUGGAGAAAACCUAGGACCUUGCUACCUUGUAUACUUCUGGACUGGACAGCGCCUGAGUUAGGAAAUGUUGAGUUUAUCAUCGCUUUUGUGUUAUAACAAUGCAAUCAUGCCUGGGGUGUUUACUAAGGCUGCCAGAAAUAAGUUGCAAAGAAAUUUCUCUAUUACUUGAUGUGUGCAAGUGUUCUUGGGAACCCCCAAAGCUAGAGCCUGAAGAGCCUAGUACUUAUAGCACCACAGUAUUCAUCUCCAAGGUUGUGGUAAAUCUAUCAUGGUACCAGAUAGCUACAGACAGGUGUACUACUACACUCACAGCAAUGACCUGCAAUGGGGUCAGUUACAAUAUCUGUUAUACAUUCCCCUUCCCUGUCUUCUUUUAUUGUCUGUUUCUGUUAUCCUCUCAUAUUUCUUUCUGUCCAGUUUAUAUUACUUCACUCUCUGGCCCUGUUUACACUAAGGGAAAAGGGCAAUGCAAAAAAAUCCCAGACAAACCCAUAAGCUGAAACAACUUAAUUUUGUAUCCACAGCACCUUGUAUCCACAUACAACUGUCAGACAUUUUACAAGAGUUAAUUGUAAGCAGUUGGUUCAGUGCCAAAACCAGGAGCCUAAUUCUUCACUGCUUUGCACCUUGUGUGGUCAUUUACACCUGUGAAAAGUCAGUGUAAAAUUAGAAUUCUCCAUCACAUAUACCAGUGGUAGUAUUUUACAUCCACUUUGUAUUCACUUUUUCACAGAUGUAAAUGACUACAUCAGGAACGAGUAGUGGAGAAUCAGUUCCAAUGUCUUUAGUUCAUUUCAGGUCUGAAGCAAUGCAUUCUGCAACUAUUUCUGCCCAUUGUAAACAGGAAGCUGUAAUCAUUGCAGCUGCACGAUUUCAGAUUAUCCUCCUGAUCUCCUUGCCCCAUCAGAUCUCCUUUUGGUAAGCUACGCUUAUGUUGGAAUAAGAGUAUUCACACGAGAGGUUAUACCAGUAUAACUAUAUCUCUGUAACUUGGUAACAUUUCCCCAUAUAUACAAGACCUUAUUCCAAUGUCCAGAACAUAUCCUAUGGAUAAGAAAGAACUGUUAAAUAUUAGAGGCCAACUGAGGUGAUUAAGAAAAGGUCACGCCAAAAAUGGUUUUUUAUCACUUUAGAGUUAACAUUCUAGAUUGUCUCUGGAACAGAAAUCACAGUUAUUGUGAUUACAGAAAAAUAGCUCAUGGGCUUUAAAUGAGAUAUAUUUCCAGCUUUAUAUGGACCAAAUCUAUGUAACCUAUAAUAAAAGAUAUGCAAGUAUCAGGAAAAAAUGGAUGAGACCGAGCUAGAUUCCUUGACAUAUUGUACAGACUGAAAAAUUCAUAGUUAAAGCUGCCAUUGAACACCAGCUUUGCAGCACAAUCUAAUGUCUGGUUCUAUUAACAGAAGGUGAUGUUACAUAAAGUAGGGGAAAUAUUCAUUCACCUAUUGUGAACUAAUUACACUGCAAGUUACUGAAACACUGAGAAUUUCCUCCCAUGUUUAUUAUUUUUUUGCCUCUACUGAUAAAUCUGUUUGGGAUUUACUUUCUGUGUGUGUAGGAUCUAGCCAAUUUGCAGAUCUCCUCAUGCUUUAUAUAUUUUAUAAACAAAAAAAGUAAAUAUAUAUUCUAAUUGUUAUAGGUAUCAUCCUAUUCUGCCUCAACUAACCCUCACCUUCAAACUGGUGCACAAUAGCAAGUACUAUGUCAGUAGGAAAGAGGAAUUCUUGCGGAGUUUGCAGCUUAGUAGAUCUUACAUUGUGGGCUUUGCCAAACACGUGUUUCCUCCCUGAAAUGACCUCUGAGGGAAGACUGAAGAAAAUUGGGUU